UUGAUAGUACCUAUCCUACAUGGAUAACAGUGGUAAUUCUAGAGCUAAUACAUGCUGAAAAUCCCGACUUCGGAAGGGACGUAUUUAUUAGAAUCAGAACCAAUGCCCUUCGGGGUUCCUUGGUGAAUCAUGAUAACUCCACAGAUCGCAUGGCCUUGCGCCGGCGAUGGCUCAUUCAAAUUUCUUCCCUAUCAACUUUCGACGGUACGGUCUUGGCCUACCGUGGUUGCAACGGGUGACGGAGGGUUAGGGCUCGACCCCGGAGAAGGAGCCUGAGAAACGGCUACUACAUCCAAGGAAGGCAGCAGGCGCGCAAAUUAUCCAAUCCCGACUCGGGGAGAUAGUGACAAUAAAUACCGAUACAGGGCUCUUUUGGGCCCUGUAAUUGGAAUGAGUACAAUUCAAACCUCUUAACGAGGAACAAUUGGAGGGCAAGUCUGGUGCCAGCAGCCGCGGUAAUUCCAGCUCCAAUAGCGUAUAUUAAAGUUGUUGUGGUUAAAAAGCUCGUAGUCGAACCUCGAGCCUGGCCGGCCGGUCCGCCUCACCGCGUGCACUGGUCUGGCCGGGCUCUUCCCUCUGCGGAACCGCAUGUCCUUCACUGGGCGUGUCGGGGAGGCAGGACUUUUACUUUGAAAAAAUUAGAGUGCUCAAGGCAGGCCAAUGCUCGGAUACAUUAGCAUGGAAUAAUAGAAUAGGACGUUGGUUCUAUUUUGUUGGUUUCUAGGACCGCCGUAAUGAUCAAUAGGGACGGUCGGGGGCAUCAGUAUUCAGCCGUCAGAGGUGAAAUUCUUGGACCGGCUGAAGACUAACUACUGCGAAAGCAUUUGCCAAGGACGUUUUCGCUGAUCAGGAACGAAAGUUAGGGGAUCGAAGACGAUCAGAUACCGUCGUAGUCUUAACCAUAAACUAUGCCGACUAGGGAUCGGGCGGCGUUCUUUCUAGACCCGCUCGGCAC
This 955-nucleotide ribosomal RNA is filed under the name Pleurothecium semifecundum. RNAcentral's name for it is "SSU rRNA". It matches the Rfam family "Eukaryotic small subunit ribosomal RNA", at positions 121 to 1086 of the family's 1831-position model. Lineage: Eukaryota; Fungi; Ascomycota; Sordariomycetes; Pleurotheciales; Pleurotheciaceae. The record is from RNAcentral.